Phrynosoma platyrhinos (Desert horned lizard) is the source of this 72-nucleotide non-coding RNA. NCBI's taxonomy places the organism in Eukaryota, Metazoa, Chordata, Lepidosauria, Squamata, Phrynosomatidae. The record is from the annotation of a GenBank genome assembly.
GCCAGUGUGGCAUAACAGUUUGAGUGUUGGACUACGACUCUAUAGAUCUGGGUUCGAUUCCCAGCUCAACCA